AGCACAGAGACACAGAUGACAAGGGAGUCAGCGCACCCAAGGCCCAUCGCACGGCCAAAGGAAAACUUAUACAUAUGCAACACAGGCCCACUCAGGCUUUUCCACUAGCCAUGCGGAGACACCGUGGCCAGGCUGGGGGAAUCUAUAUUUCACCUUACGUUGCACACAGCUGGGCUCAGACUGGCACCAGUGUGCAUAUGCAAACAAGGCAGUAGCUGUAUUCAUCAGGGCUCCGAGAAGCCAGGAGCCUUCUCUUCUAGAGCAGCAAACAAAGAAAGGUGGGUGGGGCAUGCCAGAGGGGGCGUGGCUGGUAGGCAAGGAGUAGACGGGAAAGAGGCCAUUGGAACAGAGAACAAAUUAUGUCAAAUUAGUGUAGGGGUGUGGGGAACAUUCUCAAAGAGAAGACUUAGAAUCCAAAGGGUUUUGGAGCCAGACGUUCCUCCUAGAACCACGGUCUAAUGGCCUCCUUUUACUGAUGAAAAAACUGAGGGCGAGAGAGGAGAAAUAAUUUGCUGAGAGACAAACACCUAAUCGCAGUUUCUUGUCCAUAGGGGAAUACCGCUGUGUUCAAAUUUAAUUUUUUCUUAUAGAGGUAAAGAAAGAUCAAGGAGAUCCCUAGAUGGUCAGUCCUAUCAAGACCAUGUGAGCACCGUGUGGAGAAAGAAAGAGAAGCCAUAAGCCAUUGUCCUUGCCUUCGACAUGCAAUAAGAAUGUGUUCAAGGAUGUUGAGAUUCACUCAACACAAGGAGAAAGUCGUGAAGGGAACGUGCUACCUGCCAGGUACAUUGGGAGGUCCUCAGCAAAGAACCUGGUCAAGUCCUUCAUUCACUGAGCUUCUGCAGACACUGACAAUCAGCUAUCACACAGCAUGCCCUGUGUCUCUAGACAUGCAUCAGGACACAGCCUCAGCUUUGCAAGAGCUGGUCCCACCUAGGGCACCACCGCAAUAUGGUAAGUGCUUUAGCGACAGAGUGCUUUGGGAGUGGAGAUCUAACCCAGCCUGAGAGAUCAGAAGGCUUCCCAGAGAAGAUGAUAUCCAAGGUAUAUCCUGUGGUGAGUCAAAACCAGCCGAGUACAACAGGGGUGAGCAGUGAGGUGCUGGAGCAAGAACUUCCAUGCACACGGAAGAGCGUGCAGCGGCCAGCAGGAGAGGGGGCAGGCUUCAGCUAACUCACUGGCACACCCAGAACUCAUGCCCAACACUUGGGGCUCAGGUGUUGCUGAAUGAAUAAACAAGCUUGCUGUACACGGUUCACAUCCUCCCUUCCUACCUGCUGCUCUGGGUUCCAGGGAAGACAUGCCCGCUCUCUCUGGUGCCUAACCCAGAGCAUAGCCAGGGAGAAAAGGGCAGCAUGUAGAGCAGCGCGCCCCACUGGACAUGUCAGGCCAGGCUGUCAUAGAAAAGCACUCCAACCCUAGGGGACUGCCCACGCCCCCAGGUGACCAGGCUCCCAGAUUCUCAGUGAGAGGGACAGGCUGGGACCCUAAGUGCUCACAGGUGAACUCAAGUGGCUUGAAUUCCAAAACCAAGGUGUGCUAGGCAAGGUUUUCCAGGCGUGGGGAAGAAGCACCUCCCCUUCCAUGAGGUGGUUCUUGACAAUGCAGGGGCCAGGUGUGUGAGCCACGUUCCCAUUACAUCCUUCUAGCAGUUUCCAAAGCUCUGUCCUCACUCCUCCUUGUCCCACACAGACCCACCCCCUCGAAACUCCUCUCCUGACUGAGAUGUUCCUUGUUCAUCGUUGAACCGUCCCCUUCAUCCUUCUUGAAGGCUGUGAUUAGAACCACAAGACAGACAGUGUCAGAACAGGCACUUCCGCAGAUGCCUGUUGGCCUGUUUUCUCCAGUCUUCCACUCGGGCUACAAGUUGCCAAACACCUUGGGAUAGGGCCGUUUGGUCAAACUAUAGCAUCUACCAAUGGUCAGUACAAAUUUUUGUCUUUGCCUAUAAAUUUGGGGGAAACUGAAAGGAAUCCUGGGCUUGAUUUCUCUCUGGUGGGUGGUGGAGACUUGAGGGCAUGCCAGGAACAGAGAAUGAGGAGCAGCGUCCGGGCCGGAAGUUGGCUGUGGGCUAGUGGCUGGAAGGUGGUGGGGGGGACAAAUGGGGCAAGGGUUGACUGCAUUUAUCAAUGAAGGUAUGAAAGGCUGUUCUAGACUUAAUUAAAUAACGACUCAUAAAUAUUCAGCUCUGCAAAGCUGAGCCUCCACAAUGAUGGAUGUCAGGGACUAAAAGGCUUUCAAGGGGAGGACUCUGCAGAGACGUGGGCCCCCACACGUGUCAGAAUGGAAAGGGCACACUGCCCACAGCUUCCGCUAGCUUGUGACAUAUUGUUCUCUCGUACCAGCCUUGCAAGCCAAAUGCACUUUCAAGCUAGCGGUCUAGCUCCCUAAGGAAGAGAAUUCUCUCAGGACCUUGGAAUUUGUAGUGCAGUGAUCCCCUUUAUCCACGCUUCCGCAUUCCGCGGUUUCAGUUACCUGUGGCUAACCAUAGUCUGAAAAUAUUAAAUGGAAAACGACAGAAAUAAACAAUCUGUAAGUUGUAAAUUGUGCAGCCGUCUGAGUAGUGUGAUGUAAUCUGGCACUGUCCACUCCAUCCUUUUUGGGAGGUAAACAUUUCCUUUAUCCAGCAUGAAGCUGGAUCUGGAAGAGAGGUGCAGGAACAAGUGUGCGAUGGGACAAGUCUCCAAUAUAGGCUAUUCGACCAGGUACGAGCACUAGUGACCGAAGCCCAGGGCCUCUGCCUGUGUGCUCCUUAUUCUCCUUUACUUAGCUUCUACCACAGCUAAGAACUUGGACCAUGCCUCGAUCAUGUUGAGCUGCUUUGAGCCUCAAGGGCUUUCUCAAUAGGGCAGUAGCAUCUAACCUACC
Molecule: long non-coding RNA, 2865 nt
Filed under: Callithrix jacchus (white-tufted-ear marmoset)
Lineage: Eukaryota; Metazoa; Chordata; Mammalia; Primates; Cebidae
Description: lncRNA (ENSCJAG00000078433.1)
Source: RNAcentral